CCCCGUGGCUUUGGGGGCUGUGAGCUGGGCUGGCAGCGUGGGCCGGGUGUGAGCCGUGCUGGACACAGCCUGCAGCUCACAGGGAACCCUCUGCUCCUGCACGUCCCCACUUUUUGGUGAGGCUCCUGCAGGUGGCAGGUGCUGCAGAGCCCAGCGCUGUGCUGUGGGCGGCCCAGAGAGCCACUCUGCUCAUCCUGAAGUUGUGUUUCUUUCUUUAUUUUUUUUUAUUCAAGGACUGCUGCAGCUCUAUCACUUUGGAUUUGUCAUUUUUUAAUGGCCUAUAAACUAACGACAAGUCGACAAUUCCUUGAUAUGCUCCUUGUUUGCAUUGCCUAUACCACGUCCUCCACAAAUGCAGCAGCUCUCCCAGCACCAGACCUAGUCAAAGCUGUUGUGUUCCUCAGGCCCAGGAACCUGCCCCAGCUGCAGCACGUUGGAGCAGGCUGAGCACGGAGAGAUGGGGCAGAGCUGCAAGGAGACCUCACUGCAAACAGAGUACCCCAGGUUUGAUUUUGCAUGGAGUCUUGAGCAGGACAGAGCUGAAGCUGUUUGCUCUGUGCUUGGUGGUGCCCAGUCUGCAGGAGCAGGGGUGUCCAGCUGCCCUGGGAGCCUGACCUGCAUUGCUGAGCAUGCCUUGGUUCGAGCCACCAGUAGCAGCUCAGCUUUCCUGCAUCACGUCCCCUUCACACCUCCCUGGCUGUGUUAACGGUGAGGAUCCCAAAAGUCAAUAAAACUGCGGCCAUUUCUGAAGCA
RNAcentral lists this long non-coding RNA (753 nucleotides) under Numida meleagris (helmeted guineafowl). Its description in RNAcentral is "lncRNA (ENSNMEG00000005838.1)". The record is from RNAcentral. Lineage: Eukaryota; Metazoa; Chordata; Aves; Galliformes; Numididae.